Molecule: long non-coding RNA, 584 nt
Filed under: Marmota marmota marmota (Alpine marmot)
Lineage: Eukaryota; Metazoa; Chordata; Mammalia; Rodentia; Sciuridae
Description: lncRNA (ENSMMMG00000001831.1)
Source: RNAcentral
CCUUGAGUGGCUCCGGGUGGGGCUUGUGCUCUCAGAGAUGACCCCUCUGUGGUGCUACUACCCACAUCUUGAUUUCAGAGUCAUCUUCCCUCCACAUUCUCUACACUACCAUAGCUCCAUUGGUCAAAUACAAUACCGAGACGAAGGCCCUUGCAUAUGUGAACAAUCAGCUCUUUCUGAAAUUCGACAGUAGGAACCAGAGCAUUCAACACUGGGGUCUGUGGGAGACACUGGAAGGUUCCGUGGAGUGGAGAGAGUUGGUACAGAAUGUGAAGCUCUUUGGGAGGGAAUCCUUGGUGUUGCUGUGGGACAUGAAGCAGCAUAGCCAGCAGCCUGGGCCUCAUAUUUUGCAGAUGGCUCUGGGCUGUGACCUCAAGGAGAAUGGCAACUUCAAGAGCUUCUGGAAAUACAGCUACGAGGGACAGGACUACCUCACAUUCCAGCCAGCAACACUCUGCUGGAAGGCUGAUGCUCCUGAGGCCCAAAGCAUGGCACAGAGUUUGAAGAAGGAUAGAGACUUGGCCCAGCACCAUGGUGCCUUUAUCAAUGGUGACUGUCAGCACUAUCUUCAGAAGUACCCAGGA